CCUCUGGGAAUCCCUCUGGGCAUGGGUGUGAUGCUCUGCCACCCUCGUGCAGCCCCUCGCUGUUGUACAUCACACCCUCACUGCCACUGCCCCAGCCCCAUCCUCACUGGGACAGCCUCAAGGUGCCUGGAGUUACUUAUGGACAGCUUGUAGAAGAGACAUAUUUACUUAAUAAAUAAAUACAAACAACAUACGGCAGGUGCUAGCAUGAAAUACACACUACUGGUGUUGUGAGGGAGAUAAGGUCUGAGGCUGGAGCUUUGCCCAGUGCAGCUUAACUUGCCCAGCUGGCACACACCAGGCUGCCCUGGAUGGGUAACGGGACUGGCAGUGCAAUCUGGAGCUGCUCAAGGGCACGUCAGAAGCUGCACACCUGGAGGGAUAAAUAUAUUAACGCAGGGAAAUAUAUUAUCCAGGGAAGCUUUGCCUUAGAAUGCCUGGGGACACAAAGUCGGCCCUUCUCUGGGAGCCGGCGGGGCCCUCGGGCACAUUUCUGGGUGCCUGCCCAGGGUAGGUCCCGGGAGUGGCAGCUGAGGGUCAUGGCACACGUGGGCACACACAGCUGAGGGUCAUGGCACACGUGGGCACACAGCUGAGGGUCAUGGCACACGUGGGCACAGGGCAGAGGACAGGGCAA
Molecule: non-coding RNA, 637 nt
Organism: Taeniopygia guttata (zebra finch)
Lineage: Eukaryota; Metazoa; Chordata; Aves; Passeriformes; Estrildidae
Source: RefSeq, a predicted model, not a curated record